Molecule: unclassified non-coding RNA, 309 nt
Filed under: plant metagenome
Description: partial contains 5.8S ribosomal RNA, internal transcribed spacer 2, and large subunit ribosomal RNA
Rfam family: 5.8S ribosomal RNA (bases 1-105)
Source: RNAcentral
GAAAUGCGAUAAGUAGUGUGAAUUGCAGAAUUCAGUGAAUCAUCGAAUCUUUGAACGCACAUUGCGCCCCUUGGUAUUCCAUGGGGCAUGCCUGUUCGAGCGUCAUUUGUACCCUCAAGCUCUGCUUGGUGUUGGGUGUUUGUCCCGUCUCCGCGCGUGGACUCGCCCCAAAGUGAUUGGCAGCCGGCGUACUGGUCCCGGAGCGCAGCACAUGUCGCGCAAACGAGUGCCUUGGUACGGCGGCGUCCAUAAGCCCCUCUCUCACGCUCUUGACCUCGGAUCAGGUAGGGAUACCCGCUGAACUAAAGC